RNAcentral lists this ribosomal RNA (580 nucleotides) under uncultured rumen bacterium. RNAcentral's name for it is "bacterial SSU rRNA". It matches the Rfam family "Bacterial small subunit ribosomal RNA", at positions 188 to 768 of the family's 1533-position model. The record is from RNAcentral.
CAUCUGAUUUGGAAUAAAGAUUUAUCGCUAAGGGAUGGGGAUGCGUCUGAUUAGGUAGUAGGCGGGGCAACGGCCCACCUAGCCGACGAUCAGUAGGGGUUCUGAGAGGAAGGUCCCCCACAUUGGAACUGAGACACGGUCCAAACUCCUACGGGAGGCAGCAGUGAGGAAUAUUGGUCAAUGGGCGAGAGCCUGAACCAGCCAAGUAGCGUGCAGGAUGACGGCCCUAUGGGUUGUAAACUGCUUUUGCAUGGGAAUAAAGUGAGGCACGUGUGCCUUUUUGUAUGUACCAUGAGAAUAAGGACCGGCUAAUUCCGUGCCAGCAGCCGCGGUAAUACGGAAGGUCCGGGCGUUAUCCGGAUUUAUUGGGUUUAAAGGGAGCGCAGGCUGUAUUUUAAGCGUGACGUGAAAUGUACGGGCUCAACCGGUGCAGUGCGUCGCGAACUGGAGUACUUGAGUGCACUCGAGGAAUGCGGAAUUCGUGGUGUAGCGGUGAAAUGCUUAGAUAUCACGAAGAACUCCGAUUGCGAAGGCAGCGUUCCAGGGUGUAACUGACGCUAAAGCUCGAAAGUGCGGGUAU